Eriocheir sinensis (Chinese mitten crab) is the source of this 386-nucleotide long non-coding RNA. RefSeq lists it as uncharacterized. The transcript has 3 exons. The record is from RefSeq and is a predicted model, not a curated record. NCBI's taxonomy places the organism in Eukaryota, Metazoa, Arthropoda, Malacostraca, Decapoda, Varunidae.
GUGUGGGGCUGAGGCAGAAGGAUGGCCAUGGCCCCGGCAUACAGGGCAGGCCAUCGUCAGGCAGGGCAGAGGCCAGCACAGCGAGGGUGGCCACGGCUGCCCCAUCCACACUCUCCCUUCCUGGCCAAGCAGCUCACCUCAAGACUGGACGGUGACCAAGUGGUGUGUUGGUGCCUACCUCUGGCUGGCCGGCUGCUAUGAUAGAAUUAUGAAGAGCAAGCAGACAGCGCUGAAAGAACGGGGACUUCUUCUUCUUCCACAAACAACUGCUGAUGAGAGAGUGAAGCGAUGAAUAACAGGGCACUGAAUAACAGGAGAGGCUGAAGGCGCAGUGCAGGGCUGUGGCGGUGCCUUCAGAGUGGAUUCUGUCCGGGCAGGCGGUGCAC